RNAcentral lists this ribosomal RNA (405 nucleotides) under uncultured bacterium. Its description in RNAcentral is "bacterial SSU rRNA". It matches the Rfam family "Bacterial small subunit ribosomal RNA", at positions 362 to 773 of the family's 1533-position model. The record is from RNAcentral.
UCUUCGGCAAUGGGCGAAAGCCUGACCGAGCGACGCCGCGUGUGCGAUGAAGGCCUUCGGGUUGUAAAGCACUGUCGUGGGGGAGAAAGGCCCGCAAGGGCUUGAUCGACCCCAGGAGGAAGCUCGGGCUAAGUUCGUGCCAGCAGCCGCGGUAAGACGAACCGAGCGAACGUUAUUCGGAAUCACUGGGCUUAAAGGGCGCGUAGGCGGGCCGGCAAGUCAGGGGUGAAAGCCCCCAGCUCAACUGGGGAAGGGCCUCUGAUACUGCCGGCCUCGAGCGAGGUAGGGGCGUGCGGAACUUCCGGUGGAGCGGUGAAAUGCGUAGAUAUCGGAAGGAACACCGGUGGCGAAAGCGGCGCGCUGGACCUCUUCUGACGCUGAGGCGCGAAAGCCAGGGGAGCGAAC